Molecule: long non-coding RNA, 699 nt
Filed under: Anser brachyrhynchus (Pink-footed goose)
Lineage: Eukaryota; Metazoa; Chordata; Aves; Anseriformes; Anatidae
Description: lncRNA (ENSABRG00000021969.1)
Source: RNAcentral
GGGAUGCACCAGGUCCUCUGCAGGUGCUUCCAAUAGAUGCCGCAAGCUGCCCUCACGAGCAGCAGCUGCUGGGGAGCAGGAGAUUAUUUAGGUGGGCUUCCAGGGGGCCCUGUAACCGUAGGGUUGAGCUUGGGUGGUGCUGCUGGUGGGUGUUUGCUGCCUUUAGAUGGGGGCUCCUGUCCUGGCUCUCUCUGUCAGGUCUGAUGUUCUUCACUUGUCAGAAUCUCCAAAGUAGCAGCCCUCUUGAAUUAGAGGGUAAAGAGCAGCAAGUAGGAAAAACCUAUUUCCAAGGUUCGCCAUGCGUUGUGAGCAGAGAAGAGCCAAGGCGUUGGACACUGUCAAUGAAUCUGUGUUGCAACAGAAGCCACUUCUGUCUGCGUGCACAGCUGCUACACUUCUAACCCAGCUGUCAGGUCCAGUGCUAAUUUUUGCCAAAAGUGAAAGAGAGAGUGAAAAAUCAUUAAUUCAAUUUCUCACUGUUUUGCCUCUGGUGAUUGCUGUCACUUCAGAGGCUAAUAGUUGUUCUACUGAUAGAUGAAGAGGGUAAGAGACAAAAAUUUCUGAGCACUGGCAUUCUUCUGAAUGUUUUUGUCUUGCUGCUUUGAUGACAGCUGUCUUGCAGAGUCAGAGUCUAGUCUGGGACCAACAGUUAGCACUCUUGUCAACAUGGAUAAUGUAAGGGGUAAAUUGUAUUUGAAC